UACGUAGGGGGGCAAGCGUUGUCCGGAUUUAUUGGGCGUAAAGAGCGUGUAGGCGGCCAGACAGGUCCGUUGUGAAAACUCGAGGCUCAACCUCGAGACGCCGAUGGAAACCGUCUGGCUAGAGUCCGGAAGAGGAGAGUGGAAUUCCUGGUGUAGCGGUGAAAUGCGCAGAUAUCAGGAAGAACACCCGUGGCUAAGGCGGCUCUCUAGUACGGUACUGACGCUGAGACGCGAAAGCUGGGGAGCGAACAGG
RNAcentral lists this ribosomal RNA (253 nucleotides) under uncultured bacterium. Its description in RNAcentral is "partial 16S ribosomal RNA". It matches the Rfam family "Bacterial small subunit ribosomal RNA", at positions 524 to 776 of the family's 1533-position model. The record is from RNAcentral.